GUGGUGAACUCCACAUACGCAUCCUUUGCUGAGGAUACGGUUAACGGAGCGAAAGCGACGUUCAACCUCAAAAGAAGCAGAGGGGGCUUAGUGGUGGGGUGACUGCGUACCUUUUGUAUAAUGGGUCAGCGACUUAUAUUCUGUAGCAAGGUUAACCGCAUAGGGGAGCCGGAGGGAAACCGAGUCUUAACCGGGCGUUAAGUUGCAGGGUAUAGACCCGAAACCCGGUGAUCUAGCCAUGGGCAGGUUGAAGGUUGGGUAACACUAACUGGAGGACCGAACCGACUAAUGUUGAAAAAUUAGCGGAUGACCUGUGGCUGGGGGUGAAAGGCCAAUCAAACCGGGAGAUAGCUGGUUCUCCCCGAAAGCUAUUUAGGUAGCGCCUCGUGAAUUCAUCUCCGGGGGUAGAGCACUGUUUCGGCUAGGGGGCCAUCCCGGCUUACCAACCCGAUGCAAACUGCGAAUACCGGAGAAUGUUAUCACGGGAGACACACGGCGGGUGCUAACGUCCGUCGUGAAGAGGGAAACAACCCAGACCGCCAGCUAAGGUCCCAAAGUCAUGGUUAAGUGGGAAACGAUGUGGGAAGGCCCAGACAGCCAGGAUGUUGGCUUAGAAGCAGCCAUCAUUUAAAGAAAGCGUAAUAGCUCACUGGUCGAGUCGGCCUGCGCGGAAGAUGUAACGGGGCUAAACCAUGCACCGAAGCUGCGGCAGCGACACUGUGUGUUGUUGGGUAGGGGAGCGUUCUGUAAGCCUGUGAAGGUGGCCUGUGAGGGUUGCUGGAGGUAUCAGAAGUGCGAAUGCUGACAUAAGUAACGAUAAAGCGGGUGAAAAGCCCGCUCGCCGGAAGACCAAGGGUUCCUGUCCAACGUUAAUCGGGGCAGGGUGAGUCGACCCCUAAGGCGAGGCCGAAAGGCGUAGUCGAUGGGAAACGGGUUAAUAUUCCCGUACUUGGUGUUACUGCGAAGGGGGGACGGAGAAGGCUAUGUUGGCCGGGCGACGGUUGUCCCGGUUUAAGCGUGUAGGUGUGUGUUCCAGGUAAAUCCGGUUCACUUUAACACUGAGGCGUGACGACGAGGCACUACGGUGCUGAAGCAACAAAUGCCCUGCUUCCAGGAAAAGCCUCUAAGCAUCAGGUAACAUCAAAUCGUACCCCAAACCGACACAGGUGGUCAGGUAGAGAAUACCAAGGCGCUUGAGAGAACUCGGGUGAAGGAACUAGGCAAAAUGGUGCCGUAACUUCGGGAGAAGGCACGCUGACACGUAGGUGAAGUGAUUUACUCAUGGAGCUGAAGUCAGUCGAAGAUACCAGCUGGCUGCAACUGUUUAUUAAAAACACAGCACUGUGCAAACACGAAAGUGGACGUAUACGGUGUGACGCCUGCCCGGUGCCGGAAGGUUAAUUGAUGGGGUCAGCGCAAGCGAAGCUCCUGAUCGAAGCCCCGGUAAACGGCGGCCGUAACUAUAACGGUCCUAAGGUAGCGAAAUUCCUUGUCGGGUAAGUUCCGACCUGCACGAAUGGCGUAAUGAUGGCCAGGCUGUCUCCACCCGAGACUCAGUGAAAUUGAACUCGCUGUGAAGAUGCAGUGUACCCGCGGCAAGACGGAAAGACCCCGUGAACCUUUACUAUAGCUUGACACUGAACAUUGAGCCUUGAUGUGUAGGAUAGGUGGGAGGCUUUGAAGUGUGGACGCCAGUCUGC
RNAcentral lists this ribosomal RNA (1700 nucleotides) under Salmonella enterica subsp. enterica serovar Mbandaka. RNAcentral's name for it is "partial 23S ribosomal RNA". It matches the Rfam family "Bacterial large subunit ribosomal RNA", at positions 1 to 2179 of the family's 2925-position model. Lineage: Bacteria; Pseudomonadati; Pseudomonadota; Gammaproteobacteria; Enterobacterales; Enterobacteriaceae. The record is from RNAcentral.